RNAcentral lists this transfer RNA (73 nucleotides) under Stieleria magnilauensis. RNAcentral describes it as "Planctomycetes bacterium TBK1r tRNA-Lys". It matches the Rfam family "tRNA". From Rfam's summary of the family: Transfer RNA (tRNA) molecules are approximately 80 nucleotides in length. Their secondary structure includes four short double-helical elements and three loops (D, anti-codon, and T loops). The record is from RNAcentral. RNAcentral also lists the same sequence under 7 other names. Lineage: Bacteria; Pseudomonadati; Planctomycetota; Planctomycetia; Pirellulales; Pirellulaceae.
GCCCUUGUAGCUCAGUUGGUAGAGCAACGGACUCUUAAUCCGUGGGUCGUAGGUUCGAGCCCUACCGGGGGUA